This 954-nucleotide ribosomal RNA is filed under the name Salmonella enterica subsp. enterica serovar Thompson. RNAcentral's name for it is "partial 23S ribosomal RNA". It matches the Rfam family "Bacterial large subunit ribosomal RNA", at positions 528 to 1405 of the family's 2925-position model. Lineage: Bacteria; Pseudomonadati; Pseudomonadota; Gammaproteobacteria; Enterobacterales; Enterobacteriaceae. The record is from RNAcentral.
GGUUAACGGAGCGAAAGCGACGUUCAACCGCAAAACAAGCAGAGGGGGCUUAGUGGUGGGGUGACUGCGUACCUUUUGUAUAAUGGGUCAGCGACUUAUAUUCUGUAGCAAGGUUAACCGUAUAGGGGAGCCGGAGGGAAACCGAGUCUUAAUUGGGCGUUAAGUUGCAGGGUAUAGACCCGAAACCCGGUGAUCUAGCCAUGGGCAGGUUGAAGGUUGGGUAACACUAACUGGAGGACCGAACCGACUAAUGUUGAAAAAUUAGCGGAUGACCUGUGGCUGGGGGUGAAAGGCCAAUCAAACCGGGAGAUAGCUGGUUCUCCCCGAAAGCUAUUUAGGUAGCGCCUCGUGAAUUCAUCUCCGGGGGUAGAGCACUGUUUCGGCUAGGGGGCCAUCCCGGCUUACCAACCCGAUGCAAACUGCGAAUACCGGAGAAUGUUAUCACGGGAGACACACGGCGGGUGCUAACGUCCGUCGUGAAGAGGGAAACAACCCAGACCGCCAGCUAAGGUCCCAAAGUCAUGGUUAAGUGGGAAACGAUGUGGGAAGGCCCAGACAGCCAGGAUGUUGGCUUAGAAGCAGCCAUCAUUUAAAGAAAGCGUAAUAGCUCACUGGUCGAGUCGGCCUGCGCGGAAGAUGUAACGGGGCUAAACCAUGCACCGAAGCUGCGGCAGCGAACGUAUCACUUAAAGCGAUUCAGCGGGUUACGAUUGACGGAGCGAAGCGACGUCAAAGCGUAUACAAAGUCGAGUCGGUUUAAGGAUACGUUCGUUGGGUAGGGGAGCGUUCUGUAAGCCUGUGAAGGUGGCCUGUGAGGGUUGCUGGAGGUAUCAGAAGUGCGAAUGCUGACAUAAGUAACGAUAAAGCGGGUGAAAAGCCCGCUCGCCGGAAGACCAAGGGUUCCUGUCCAACGUUAAUCGGGGCAGGGUGAGUCGACCCCUAAGGCGAGGCCGA